AUGAUGUCAUGUCAUCAAACUUCUGAAGAGAAGAAAAGACACAGCCUGUGAAGUGUAGCAAGCAGGAAAUAGAGAAGGUGUCUUCUAUACCACGUCAUCUCUUAUGUGAAUACUGACUCAAGAUGCUGUCUGCCCUGGGAGGAUACAUUUCUUUAGAGGUUUCACAUUUCAGAGAAACCACCACAUACUGUAGACCACAUGACCAGACUAUGAGCUCAGCUUAACUCCUCCUGUGCCAGUGCCUUCCCCUGCUGCUGCUGCGGAUCGGUGAAAUGUCAACUGAGAAUCAACCUCAUUCCGGACAUCCUUCAACUGCCCAAACUGAUGAAAAUGUUAUGAAAAUUCAUCAUGCCAUUCUGAAAGAUCGCUGUCAGACCAUUGAAAAACUCUUGAAGUUACUGGAAUUUCAUGAAGUUACUGUCGGCGAAUUUCAACUGAGGACUUGGGUAUGUAACUGUUUGCAGCAAAAUUUGUGCCUUGUAUUCUCACCACUAACCAAAGAGACAAUCGCCUGGCUGCGUACCGUGCUUUGAAUGAACACUUGAAAGAAGACCCUGAUUUGUUUUCCAAAAUCGUAACAGGAGAUGAAUCUUGGUGCUACAGUUACGAUCCAGAAACAAAACAGAAAUCCAGCCAAUGGAAACCCCCCACUUCUCCUCGUCCCAAAAAGCCUGACAAGUGAAGUCAAAUGUGAAAACAAUGCUCAUUUGUUUCUUUAAUGUGAGAGGAAUUGUGUACCCCAGGGUCCAACUGUCAACCAGUUUUUAUUUGGAAGUUUUGAAAAGGUUGCAUCAUGAUUUGAGGAAAAAACGUCCCGAUUUGUUGGGAACAGAUGACUGCUUCUUCCAUCAUGACAACACACCUGCGCACACAGUGGUGAUUGUUAAGCAAUUUUUAACCAAAAAUGACAUGACACCUUUGCCACACCCACCGCAUUCACCCGAUCUCGCCCCGUGCAACUUUUUUUUAUUUCCUCUGAUGAAAAGAGACCUUAAAGGAAAACAUUUUGCAGAUAUUGAAGAGGCGAAACAAAAAAAAAGGCAAAAGUACUAAAAGGCAUCAACAAAGAUGAGUUUAAAAAAUGUUUUCAGCAAUCAAAAAAAAAAGUUUGCCCAAAUGUAUUUACAAGUGGAGAGUACUUUGAGGGUGACUGAAGUUUCAAAAUGUACAAAUAAUUAAUUAAUUAAUCAUCAAUUCCUGCUUUUUUUGGGCACCCCUCGUACUAUAUAUGUGUUAAUAUAAAAUUAUUCUAACCCGCUGACAUUAUUUGGGACUAGAAGAGCAAAAAAGAAAUAUAUACCAGUUUAAA
Molecule: long non-coding RNA, 1309 nt
Organism: Pseudophryne corroboree (corroboree frog)
Lineage: Eukaryota; Metazoa; Chordata; Amphibia; Anura; Myobatrachidae
Exons: 4
Source: RefSeq, a predicted model, not a curated record